RNAcentral lists this long non-coding RNA (407 nucleotides) under Equus caballus (horse). Its description in RNAcentral is "lncRNA (ENSECAG00000056949.1)". The record is from RNAcentral. Lineage: Eukaryota; Metazoa; Chordata; Mammalia; Perissodactyla; Equidae.
GCCAUUUUCAUCAGGGGGCUGGAGAAGCGGUUUCAGGCAUUGACCUCUCUCAAGGCUAACUUACCUCACCUAUCAAAACAUAAAAACCGGAAAACCUGUAACACCUGUCAAGAGGAUGAAGAUGAGCUGCUCCCUUCAGAAGUGGAGGGGGAAGGAAGGCGCUACUGGAACUUGGGUCACCGCGUACACACAGGGGUCUGUCCCAGCCUGCCCACGGCUCGCCAGUCUUCCCAAUUGUGACACCUCCUCCCACCACCCCCUGGGCUCUCCAAGCGUCCUCUCAGACCCCCUCCCUGGAGCCCCCUCAUCUCACAAGCAGUAUUCAAAGGCAGUGGUUUGGAAGGUGGGCUCUGGAGCCUGAUUGACCAACUGGGUUCAAAUCCAGACUCCACCACUUUUCCAGAUGU